RNAcentral lists this transfer RNA (86 nucleotides) under Opitutus sp. ER46. Its description in RNAcentral is "tRNA-Leu". It matches the Rfam family "tRNA". Rfam says of the family: Transfer RNA (tRNA) molecules are approximately 80 nucleotides in length. Their secondary structure includes four short double-helical elements and three loops (D, anti-codon, and T loops). Lineage: Bacteria; Pseudomonadati; Verrucomicrobiota; Opitutia; Opitutales; Opitutaceae. The record is from RNAcentral.
GCCCGGAUGGCGGAAUGGUAGACGCAUCGGACUUAAAAUCCGAUUUCCGCAAGGAAGUGCGGGUUCGAUCCCCGCUCCGGGCACCA